This 94-nucleotide transfer RNA is filed under the name Anaerolineae bacterium. RNAcentral's name for it is "tRNA-Sec". It matches the Rfam family "Selenocysteine transfer RNA". The record is from RNAcentral. Lineage: Bacteria; Bacillati; Chloroflexota; Anaerolineae.
GGGGGUGCAUGUAUCCCGGUGGAUGCCCUGGUCUUCAAAACCAGUGACAGGUUACGUGUUAAGCUGUGGUCGGUUCGACUCCGAUGCGCUCCCG